AGUGAACGCUGGCGGUAGGCCUAACACAUGCAAGUCGAACGGCAGCACAGUAAGAGCUUGCUCUUACGGGUGGCGAGUGGCGGACGGGUGAGGAAUACAUCGGAAUCUACUUUUUCGUGGGGGAUAACGUAGGGAAACUUACGCUAAUACCGCAUACGACCUACGGGUGAAAGCAGGGGAUCUUCGGACCUUGCGCGAUUGAAUGAGCCGAUGUCGGAUUAGCUAGUUGGCGGGGUAAAGGCCCACCAAGGCGACGAUCCGUAGCUGGUCUGAGAGGAGGAUCAGCCACACUGGAACUGGGACACGGUCCAGACUCCUACGGGAGGCAGCAGUGGGGAAUAUUGGACAAUGGGCGCAAGCCUGAUCCAGCCAUACCGCGUGGGUGAAGAAGGCCUUCGGGUUGUAAAGCCCCUUUGUUGGGAAAGAAAAGCAGCAGGUUAAUACCCCGCUGUUCUGACGGUACCCAAAGAAUAAGCACCGGCUAACUUCGUG
This 492-nucleotide ribosomal RNA is filed under the name uncultured bacterium. Its description in RNAcentral is "partial 16S ribosomal RNA". It matches the Rfam family "Bacterial small subunit ribosomal RNA", at positions 29 to 507 of the family's 1533-position model. The record is from RNAcentral.